RNAcentral lists this ribosomal RNA (249 nucleotides) under uncultured Thauera sp. RNAcentral's name for it is "partial 16S ribosomal RNA". It matches the Rfam family "Bacterial small subunit ribosomal RNA", at positions 283 to 524 of the family's 1533-position model. Lineage: Bacteria; Pseudomonadati; Pseudomonadota; Betaproteobacteria; Rhodocyclales; Zoogloeaceae. The record is from RNAcentral.
GUAGCGGGUCUGAGAGGAUGAUCCGCCACACUGGGACUGAGACACGGCCCAGACUCCUACGGGAGACAGCAGUGGGGAAUUUUGGACAAUGGGGGCAACCCUGAUCCAGCCACGCCGCGUGAGUGAAGAAGGCCUUCGGGUUGUAAAGCUCUUUCGGCCGGGAAGAAAUCGCGCUCUUUAAUAGAGGGUGUGGAUGACGGUACCGGACUAAGAAGCACCGGCUAACUACGUGCCAGCAGCCGCGGUAAU